Leopardus geoffroyi (Geoffroy's cat) is the source of this 1048-nucleotide long non-coding RNA. RefSeq lists it as uncharacterized. The transcript has 3 exons. NCBI's taxonomy places the organism in Eukaryota, Metazoa, Chordata, Mammalia, Carnivora, Felidae. The record is from RefSeq and is a predicted model, not a curated record.
UUGCAUAUCUUCUGGAGCAGUGACUUCAAGUGUAGCUAUUUAUAGUAAUAAUAUUUCUAUAGUUGCAUAAAAUAUUAUAAUACAAGAAUGUUUAUCACAAUAAUUAUAUUAAAAUGAAACAUGUGGAAACCCCAAAUGUCAACAGAGAUUGAUGUACUCAGUAGCCUAAUGUGCAGACAAAAAGAAUGACAAUUAACAUCUUACUCAGACUAUUUAAUGUCAUAUAAGAAAUCCAAUGUAUAAUAUAUAAAUGAAGCAGGUUAUCAAACAACAUGUGAAAUUGUGGUAGAUGCUGUGUGUGUCACAGCCAUGUACCUUCACCCUCACUAUUUCAGUCUAUGCUUGCUCGACUUCUGAUUGCUGGAUUCUACUUCUGUUUGCCUGAGUUUUCUUUGUCCAGGUGCUUAGCAGGCCAGAAUGCUAAAGAAUAAUGCUCUGGAUGCGUAAUUGCCCAACAAUUGAUGGAGUUCGUGUACAAAUAGCCCAGGUCACACACUCUUUUGCUGAAGUGACUUUGAGAACAGUGCUCCAUACUGACUCCCAGAGUUCCUCAUUGGGAUCAGAUCCAAGAAUCCACAGUGAUGACUUCCCAGCUGGAAUGGAGAUUUCAUGGGCCAUGUGCAUGAAUGAUCUCACUGAUGGCAGAGCAACAAAAUCAAGGGCCUGUGGCCAUCAGUGAGAUGGCUCAGUAGCAAGCCUGCCUAGACUCUGAAGCUUUUGGAGUGAGGAGAUAACAGGAGGAUGCUGGUAAGAUGGCUGGAAGACCAAUGUAAUACCAGGGUAGAGAUUUUCAACCAAACGAGUCAUUGGGGAAGACCCAAGUUUUGGAGGGAAAGAGUAAUGUGAUAGGAGCUGCACUUUGAGGUGGUAAGUCUGGCAGUGAUGUAUAAGAUUGAUUUAGAAGAAGGAAGUGGGGAUCAAGAAUUCAAUGCUCCCUAUGUUCCCUUGCAGCCUAUGGCACAGGUAGGCGUAGCUCUCCAACAGUUCUUGUGGCCGGUGUCACAAUGUUGGCCCUGUCCUGUGUUCCCUAAUGUUUUCUGUUGUAGCA